Molecule: ribosomal RNA, 322 nt
Filed under: uncultured Sandonidae
Lineage: Eukaryota; Cercozoa; Glissomonadida; Viridiraptoridae
Description: SSU rRNA
Rfam family: Eukaryotic small subunit ribosomal RNA (bases 113-322)
Source: RNAcentral
GAUUUCUGGCUUGUUCCAUACCGCCGGCCACGGUUUCGUGUGUUAGUGCGGUGUGUACUGGCCAUCCUUCCCAGAGUCGCCCGUCCGGCUUCAUUGCUGGGCGUGCGGGCUGGGAUCGUUUACUUUGAAAAAAUUAGAGUGUUUCAAGCAGGCUUGAUGCUAUGAAUACAUUAGCAUGGAAUAAUGAUUUAGGACUUCGGUUCUAUUUUGUUGGUUUCUAGGACGGAAGUAAUGAUUGAUAGGGACAGUUGGGGGUGCUAGUAUUCAGCGGCCAGAGGUGAAAUUCUUGGAUUCGCUGAAGACUAACUUAUGCGAAAGCAUU